RNAcentral lists this transfer RNA (74 nucleotides) under Verrucomicrobiota bacterium. RNAcentral describes it as "Verrucomicrobia bacterium (freshwater metagenome) tRNA-Arg". It matches the Rfam family "tRNA". Rfam says of the family: Transfer RNA (tRNA) molecules are approximately 80 nucleotides in length. Their secondary structure includes four short double-helical elements and three loops (D, anti-codon, and T loops). Lineage: Bacteria; Pseudomonadati; Verrucomicrobiota. The record is from RNAcentral. RNAcentral also lists the same sequence under 1 other name.
GCGCCCGUAGCUCAGUUGGAUAGAGCAUCGGAUUUCUAAUCCGGCGGUCGUGGGUUCGAAUCCCGCCGGGCGCG